CUAGGAAUCUUGGGAAUGGGCGAAAGCCUGACCCAGCAACGCCGCGUGGGCGAUGAAGGCCUUCGGGUCGUAAAGCCCUUUUGCAGGGGACGAUAAUGACGGUACCCUGCGAAUAAGCCACGGCUAACUACGUGCCAGCAGCCGCGGUAAUACGUAGGUGGCAAGCGUUGUCCGGAUUUACUGGGCGUAAAGGGCGUGCAGGCGGUUUGUUAAGUGCAGGGUGAAAGCUCCCGGCUCAACUGGGAGAGGUCCUUGCAUACUGGCGAACUUGAGGGAUGCAGAGGAAAGUGGAAUUCCCGGUGUAGUGGUGAUAUGCGUAGAUAUCGGGAGGAACACCAGUGGCGAAGGCGGCUUUCUGGGCAUUUCCUGACGCUGAGACGCGAAAGCGUGGGGAGCGAACCAG
This 403-nucleotide ribosomal RNA is filed under the name Bacillota bacterium. RNAcentral describes it as "Firmicutes bacterium partial 16S ribosomal RNA". It matches the Rfam family "Bacterial small subunit ribosomal RNA", at positions 355 to 776 of the family's 1533-position model. The record is from RNAcentral. Lineage: Bacteria; Bacillati; Bacillota.